GAUGAAGAACGUAGCGAAAUGCGAUAAGUAAUGUGAAUUGCAGAAUUCAGUGAAUCAUCGAAUCUUUGAACGCACAUUGCGCCCUCUGGUAUUCCGGGGGGCAUGCCUGUUCGAGCGUCAUUACAACCCUCAAGCUUUGCUUGGUAUUGGACAUUGCCAGUUUCUGGCAGGUCUUAAAAUCAGUGGCGGUGCCAUUUGGCUUCAAGCGUAGUAAUUCUUCUCGCUUUGGAGAUCCAGGUGGUUACUUGCCAAUAACCCCCAAUUUUUUCAGGUUGACCUCGGAUCAGGUAGGGAUACCCGCUGAACUUAAGCACAUCAAUAAGCGGAGGA
RNAcentral lists this unclassified non-coding RNA (330 nucleotides) under soil metagenome. RNAcentral's name for it is "partial contains 5.8S ribosomal RNA, internal transcribed spacer 2, and large subunit ribosomal RNA". The stretch from base 1 to 120 matches the Rfam family "5.8S ribosomal RNA", at positions 35 to 154 of the family's 154-position model. The record is from RNAcentral.